CAGCAGCCGCGGGAAUACGUAGGUCCCGAGCGUUGUCCGGAUUUAUUGGGAGUAAAGCGAGCGCAGGCGGUUAGAUAAGUCUGAAGUUAAAGGCUGUGGCUUAACCAUAGUACGCUUUGGAAACUGUUUAACUUGAGUGCAAGAGGGGAGAGUGGAAUUCCAUGUGUAGCGGUGAAAUGCGUAGAUAUAUGGAGGAACACCGGUGGCGAAAGCGGCUCUCUGGCUUGUAACUGACGCUGAGGCUCGAAAGCGUGGGGAGCAAACAGGAUUAGAUACCCGCGUAGUACCUGUCUCUUAUACA
This 301-nucleotide ribosomal RNA is filed under the name uncultured bacterium. RNAcentral's name for it is "partial 16S ribosomal RNA". It matches the Rfam family "Bacterial small subunit ribosomal RNA", at positions 509 to 808 of the family's 1533-position model. The record is from RNAcentral.